GUCCACGCCCUAAACGAUGAGUGCUAGGUGUCUGAAUUUCGAUUUGGGCGCUACAGCUAACGCGUUAAGCACUCCGCCUGGGAACUACGGUCGCAAGACUAAAACUUAAACGGAAUUGACGGGGAUCCGCACAAGCGGUGGAGCAUGUGGUUUAAUUCGACUCUAAACGAAGAACCUUACCAGUUUUUGACAUGUUAUCUUAAGUCUGACCAGAGAUGGCAGAUGUGGGCAACCUAGAUAAUACAGGUGAUGCAUGGCUGUCGU
RNAcentral lists this ribosomal RNA (264 nucleotides) under uncultured bacterium. Its description in RNAcentral is "partial 16S ribosomal RNA". It matches the Rfam family "Bacterial small subunit ribosomal RNA", at positions 793 to 1055 of the family's 1533-position model. The record is from RNAcentral.